RNAcentral lists this unclassified non-coding RNA (378 nucleotides) under plant metagenome. RNAcentral's name for it is "partial contains 5.8S ribosomal RNA, internal transcribed spacer 2, and large subunit ribosomal RNA". The stretch from base 1 to 105 matches the Rfam family "5.8S ribosomal RNA", at positions 50 to 154 of the family's 154-position model. The record is from RNAcentral.
GAAAUGCGAUAAGUAAUGUGAAUUGCAGAAUUCAGUGAAUCAUCGAAUCUUUGAAGGCACCUUGCGCUCCUUGGUAUUCCUUGGAGCAUGCCUGUUUGAGUAUCAUGAAAUCUUCAAAGUAAAUCUUUUGUUAACUCAAUUGGUUUCUACUUUGGUAUUGGAGGUCUUUGCAGCUUCACACCUGCUCCUCUUUGUUCAUUAGCUGGAUCUCAGUGUUAUGCUUGGUUCCACUCGGCGUGAUAAGUUAUCUAUCGCUGAGGACACUGUAAAAGGUGGCCAAGGUAAAUGCAGAUGAACCGCUUCUAAUAGUCCAUUGACUUGGACAAUACUUUUAUGAUCCGAUCUCAAAUCAGGUAGGACUACCCGCUGAACUUAAGC